ACAGCAGCAGCCGCGGUAAUACGAAGGGUGCAAGCGUUAAUCGGAAUUACUGGGCGUAAAGCGUGCGUAGGCGGCUUGUUAAGUCUGUUGUGAAAUCCCCGGGCUCAACCUGGGAAUGGCAAUGGAUACUGGCAAGCUAGAGUGUGUCAGAGGAUGGUGGAAUUCCCGGUGUAGCGGUGAAAUGCGUAGAGAUCGGGAGGAACAUCAGUGGCGAAGGCGGCCAUCUGGGACAACACUGACGCUGAGGCACGAAAGCGUGGGGAGCAAACAGGAUUAGAUACCCCAGUAGUCCCUGUCUCUUAUAC
RNAcentral lists this ribosomal RNA (305 nucleotides) under uncultured bacterium. RNAcentral's name for it is "partial 16S ribosomal RNA". It matches the Rfam family "Bacterial small subunit ribosomal RNA", at positions 505 to 807 of the family's 1533-position model. The record is from RNAcentral.